AACGCAUAUUGCGCCCCCCAGUAUUCUGGCGGGCAUGCCUGUCCGAGCGUCAUCUCAACCCUCGAGCCCCCCGGGCCCGGCGUUGGGGAUCAGCCGUCGUCCCUUGCGGACGGCGGCCGGCCCCGAAACACAGUGGCGGUCACGCCGCGGCGUCCUCUGCGUAGUACGAACCUCGCACCGGACCGCGGUGCGGUCACUCCGUAAACCCCCCGACUAACACGAUGGUUGACCUCGGAUCAGGUAGGAAUACCCGCUGAACUUAA
Molecule: unclassified non-coding RNA, 263 nt
Filed under: uncultured fungus
Lineage: Eukaryota; Fungi
Description: partial contains 5.8S ribosomal RNA, internal transcribed spacer 2, and large subunit ribosomal RNA
Source: RNAcentral